Molecule: long non-coding RNA, 3865 nt
Organism: Triplophysa rosa
Lineage: Eukaryota; Metazoa; Chordata; Actinopteri; Cypriniformes; Nemacheilidae
Exons: 3
Source: RefSeq, a predicted model, not a curated record
AUGAGCAGAAGUACUUACAAAGUUACUAACAGCCUUUCCAUAACAUUUAUACUAAAACAUGAUUCAUUAUGAAAUGCUGAUUAUUAAUGCUAUUAAUAUUAUUAAAAUCAUUAAUGCUAAAUGUAGCUUGUUGGACUUUUUAGGCAGUCCUGCAUGUUCAAAAAUUUGCACAGAGACGUUCUCCAAAAUCGAUUAGAAGUUUAUUAUCAGAUGUAAAAAGGAGUAACAAAGCUUUGGGUUGUCAGACGAUCUCCUCACUCCACCACAAGCCAACAACCCAAAUUAUUCAAAAACACCCAUAUUUAUUCAGUAUGUGACGUCGCUCGCAUCUUCUGACUCCUCCUCUGCCUUUUAAGGAGUGCUGCUCCCUUUCCACCAAUCACCGUGCACCACGUAUAUCUGCAAAACAACAUCUUUGCAUAACACAUGUUUUACAUCCUGUGGUCAGUCGCCAGUUUUGAGGAAUGUUCUCUAGAGACCGUUUCUUUUGGGGAGUGGUCUCCUAGAGACAGUUUCUUGUGGCCGGACAACAUACCAACAUUCUUAACAUUCUUUUAGUAAAAAGAAAACACUCAAUCAUCUAAUGCUUUUAAUUAUGUAGCGUUGUUUCUUAAUCCUAUGAUUCAUUAAAACACAUCACAACUCAUGAUUAUACUUAAAACAUAUGCAGUGGAUUGAUUCAUAACAUUUCUUUUAUAUGUGACUCUUUGUGUGUGUGUGUGUGUGUGUGUGUGUGUGUGUGUGUGUGUGUGUGUGUGUGUUGAUUUAGAUAAUGUAUGGUUCCAACCCCCACUUAUCCUGUCUCACUUCGUUUACCACAGUAACUUUCCACUGAGUAAAAUAGAAAGCACAUGACAAAAGCACACAGCUUAAUGAUUUAAUGAAAGAAAACACUUAUUGAUUAUAUUGAUAAUUAAAUCAUACUUUUAUCUGAAAAAUAUUCCCACAAGCUACAAGUCGUAUGGUGUAUAAUCUGUCACAAAUCUAUAUAGGACACAGUAAACUGGCUGACAGCUAAAAAUACUUUAUUAAACUACUGCUGCACUUUCGUGUACUUAAGCGUUACACUAAAAGCGUUCAUUUUCUUUUCAUUUUUUCAAUUGAUUUAUUUUUGCGUCCAUUUAUUAUUUCUUUUUUUUUCUUUUUAGAUUAUUUUAUUUAUCAUUUCCUUUUAUUUUUAGAUUUAUUUAUUUAUUUUUAUAUUUAUUUAUUAUCGCAUGUAUUUAUUUCCACUUUUAUUUAUUUAUUCUUGAAUUUAUUCUUACUUUUCUGUGUCUUGUAUGAUAAUUAGAUGGGUUGGUCUUGCCUACUAUUGAUUCAGCGUAGAUUGAAGCGUUUGAUCGAUUACUCUUGACUUGUUUUGGACUAACGUCACGUCACUCACUGAUCGUUUGCUUCGUGUAUAACGUUAAGCAACUAUGGCGGGCGCACAAUUAGCUAGAGAGUUACGGCAUUUAGCCAAUGAAGUCGAUAACCAUGCAUCAAAUGACUAUGUGUCAUUUAGAUUAGAUGCGCUUAUUGAUGUUUUAUUACAGAUUGACGGCGAGAUAAAUCGCACAAAAUGUGUUGUCUUGUGGGAGACGAACUUUGGUUGCUCAAGUGUGCUGUAAUCCAAUCAGAUAAACUUGAUAUUUCAGAUCACGCAUCACUGAAGUCUGGCCUCUAAGUCUAGGUAUGAAAGUUCUUGUUUUAGUCUAAGUACUACAGUAGGUUUUGUCAUGAGGGAAAAUCACUACAGGCCUAAUUGUGUUUAAUAAACAGUUUGAAGCAAUCAAUGGUUAGUUUUUAAUGAAACAAUAAAACCCAACUUGCAAAACAUACGUUUUUUAAUGAAUACAACCAUAUUCUAAAAAACAACAAUUUUGGAUUAUGAGAAAGUAUGGAUUCCUCAGAUGAGCUUCUGUACUCGAAAAAAAGAAAUCCAGAGUGAAGCUACAAAAUUGUGUAUUGUCAGGCGUUCUAUGAAGGGUUUUGACCAAGUAACUUGUGUAUUAGAAAAACACACAAACAAACUCAUAAAACGAUUUAAUUAACAGACAUUUGUUAACAUUGGUUUUUGUUAACCUUGGUUAUCUCUUGUGUUAUUGUGAUUUUACAUAAUCCUAUGAAAGGAACUGAGAAUCAUUUCCGUGGCCCUUGGAAUUGCUUGCAGUUGCAGUCUGCAUUGAGGUCAUAAAAUGGAAGCAUGCGAUGCUUUCUCUGUCAUCAGUGGAUGUUUUUGAGUCAGAUCGUAAAUGUCACACUGUAGGUUGCAGUGCAAGCAGAAAUGCAACAACAUUGCUUGAUGUGGUUUAAUUGAUCUUGGUUUCAAAGUUUCAUAUCAUGUCAAGAGACUUCACAGAGAAUCCCUGUUACCGUUACACUCCAACAGACUUCUCUUGUGUUUCUCGUGCAUUUAUAUCAAUUUGGAUUCUAUUGAUCAUGUUUAGUACUGGAAAAGAUAAAGAUAAAAACCAAAUGAAAUGGAUUACUGUUUUAAAUCAAGAAAAGAAAACUGGAAUUUAUUUCUAGACAUUUUGAAGAAUGUAGGACAGCAAACAGUUCUGGGGCACUUUUGACUAUCAUUGUUUUUUUCCUACUAUGGAAGUCAAUGGGUGUUGAGAUCUGUUUGGUUAUAAGCAUUCUUCCAAAUAUGUUUCCCUGUGUUCAUCAGAACAAAGACAUUUAUACAGAUUUGGAACAACUCGGAGGUGAGUAAAUGAUGACAGAAUUUUCAAUUUUGGCUGAAGUAUCCCUUUAAUGGGUUGUAUCAAUCUGAGGUGAGUGAAUAUAUUAUGCACAUUUUCUAUGUAAUUUUUUUUUACCAACGGUUGGGUUUGUCCAUAUUUUAAGUGUACAUUCACAGAACAUGAUUUUCUGUACAAACUAUAAAACAGCUAUCUUUGAUUCAAUUUCAUUGUAAUUUUUGGAUGUAAACGUUUCUUAAAAAUCAUCUGGGUCAUCAGAUUUUCUUCUCUUAUAUACUCACGAUUGCUGCCCGUUUCAUGUUGAUGAAUUUAAACACAGAUUCACACAUGCCUUAUUUUAUCCAGAAUAUUGUGUGUAAUGUUGUCAGACUCAUUUAGGUACAAAGCCCACCUUUCAAUUAGUUUGAAAGUUUUUACGGCAUGUACAAUCCUUUCAGAUUUGUGUCGAUCGAUGUUGAAGCUCCUUGAUCAAAUGCACAUGCGCUACCAAAAAUGACCCGGAUUGACUUGUUUCUUCCUGUUUUGGUUUUUGACUUCAUUCAUAAUAUACACCAAAAUAAUAUACACGCAUCACCAAGACACUUUGUGAAGGCAGCAUUAUUGUUCUUACAGCACUUCUUAAGUUAGAAAACUCAACACUUAUCAGUAUGGUAAGACAGAACAGACACGGAAUGCUAACAAUGAAACUUUUUUGAGUUGUAAUAUUGUGUUUACGUAUAGUUUGAGUUUCUACUCAUAGUAACAAAGUAAUCUAUCAAAUAAUGGUAUAAAGUUUUGUUUCUUAUCAAAUAAGGGUACAACCUGCUGCAAAUCAGUUGAAGAAUCGGAUUCUCGGGAGAAAUAUUUCCGACUUAGGGAAGACAAUGAGGUUUACGACUCGAUAGACAUAACUUGUGGUUUACCCAAUCAAGUUCAGAUUUCUGUCCAGUGUCAGGAGAACCCCGAGGGUAAAAAUGGAUUCGUAAUAUAUGACAUGGCGGCCUUUCCUGUUGCCAACUUCCUGUUACCUUCCAAAGCAAAAGAUCAUGCUAAAGAUGAAGGAUCAAUAUAAAUGACUUACAAAUGAAAACAUUUUAAAAUUAUUACUAUUUUAAAUUAUUAUUAUUGUUGUUGUUAUUAACGUAAUUAAUUGUGUUUAUUAAUUUUAACUAUUAAUUAAAAUAAAAAUUAAUUUAUUU